UACGGAGGGGGCUAGCGUUGUUCGGAAUUACUGGGCGUAAAGCGCACGUAGGCGGCUUUGUAAGUUAGAGGUGAAAGCCCAGGGCUCAACCCUGGAAUUGCCUUUAAGACUGCAUCGCUUGAACAUCGGAGAGGGAUGCGGAAUUCCAGGUGUAGCGGUGAAAUGCGUAGAUAUCGAGAGGAACACCUGCGGCGAAGGCGGGUUGCUGGGCUGAUGACUGACGCUGAGGCGCGAAAGCCAGGGGAGCGAACGGG
RNAcentral lists this ribosomal RNA (254 nucleotides) under uncultured bacterium. Its description in RNAcentral is "partial 16S ribosomal RNA". It matches the Rfam family "Bacterial small subunit ribosomal RNA", at positions 524 to 776 of the family's 1533-position model. The record is from RNAcentral.